This 824-nucleotide ribosomal RNA is filed under the name uncultured archaeon. RNAcentral describes it as "bacterial SSU rRNA". It matches the Rfam family "Archaeal small subunit ribosomal RNA", at positions 21 to 853 of the family's 1478-position model. The record is from RNAcentral.
CCUGACUGCUAUCGGAUUGAUACUAAGCCAUGCGAGUCAUUGUAGCAAUACAAGGCAUACGGCUCAGUAACGCGUAGUCAACCUACCCUAUGGACGGGGAUAACCUCGGGAAACUGAGAAUAAUACCCGAUAGAACAUUAUUCCUGGAAUGGUUUAUGUUUCAAAUAAUUUAUUGCCGUAGGAUGGGACUGCGGCCUAUCAGUUUGUUGGUGAGGUAAAGGCCCACCAAGACUAUUACAGGUACGGGCUCUGAGAGGAGUAGCCCGGAGAUGGGUACUGAGACACGGACCCAGGCCCUAUGGGGCGCAGCAGGCGAGAAAACUUUGCAAUGUGCGAAAGCACGACAAGGUUAAUCCGAGUGGUUUCUGCUAAAGGAACCUUUUGUUAGUCCUAAAAACACUAAUGAAUAAGGGGUGGGCAAGUUCUGGUGUCAGCCGCCGCGGUAAAACCAGCACCUCAAGUGGUCAGGAUGAUUAUUGGGCCUAAAGCAUCCGUAGCCUGCUUUGUCAGUUUUCGGUUAAAUCCAUACGCUCAACGUAUGGGCUGCCGGGAAUACUGCAAAGCUAGGGAGUGGGAGAGGUAGACGGUACUCGGUAGGAAGGGGUAAAAUCCUUAGAUCUAUUGAUGACCACCUGUGGCGAAGGCGGUCUACCAGAACACGUCCGACAGUGAGGGAUGAAAGCUGGGGGAGCAAACCGGAUUAGAUACCCGGGUAGUCCCAGCUGUAAACUAUGCAAACUCGGUGAUGCAUUGGCUUGAUGCCAAUGCAGUGCCGCAGGAAGCCGUUAAGUUUGCCGCCUGGGAAGUACGUACGCAAGUAUGAA